This 76-nucleotide small nucleolar RNA is filed under the name Mola mola (ocean sunfish). Its description in RNAcentral is "Small nucleolar RNA SNORD99 (ENSMMOG00000014341.1)". It matches the Rfam family "Small nucleolar RNA SNORD99". From Rfam's summary of the family: The members of this family belong to the C/D class of snoRNAs which contain the C (UGAUGA) and D (CUGA) box motifs. Lineage: Eukaryota; Metazoa; Chordata; Actinopteri; Tetraodontiformes; Molidae. The record is from Rfam by way of RNAcentral.
UCUGAUCUAUGAUGACUAAAAAAAAAAGAUUGAUGACUGUUGGAUGAAGCUUGCGGAUAUGGGACUGAGAUCAGCC